UCUGCGCGAGGGCCCGGGCCGAGUCGGGCCGGCGGCCCCUUCCGUUCCUGGUGCCGCUUCUCCGUUCUCCGUCGUCCCGGCUCCCGGGGGAUGCCCCGGACCAGGUUCUCCUCAUGGCUGCCGACGUUUUCAUGUGUUCGCCGCGCCGGCCCCGCAGUCGGGGCCGCUCGGUGCUGCUCAAGCCUCAGGUGCCCGAGGACGACGACGACUCGGACACAGACGAGCCGUCUCCGCCGCCCCUCUCCGGCGUGGCCACUUCAGCCCGGGCCCACGCGAGCGCCGCGCCGCUGCCGCCUCGGGCCGGGCCCGGUCGCGAGGAGCCUCCGCGCCGGCAGCAGAUCAUCCACAGCGGCCACUUCAUGGUGUCCUCUCCGCACCGCGAGCACCCGCCCAAGAAGGGCUAUGAUUUCGACACGGUCAACAAGCAGACGUGCCAGACCUAUAGCUUCGGCAAGACCAGCUCCUGCCACUUGUCCAUCGAUGCGUCGCUCACCAAGCUCUUCGAGUGCAUGACCCUGGCCUACAGUGGGAAAUUAGUGUCUCCAAAGUGGAAAAAUUUCAAGGGCCUGAAGCUCCAGUGGCGGGACAAGAUCCGGCUCAACAACGCCAUCUGGAGGGCAUGGUAUAUGCAGUAUUUGGAGAAGCGCAAGAAUCCUGUGUGCCACUUUGUCACCCCACUAGAUGGCUCUGUUGAUGUAGAUGAACACCGUCGGCCAGAGGCCAUCACCACAGAGGGCAAAUACUGGAAAAGCCGCAUUGAGAUUGUGAUUCGGGAGUACCACAAGUGGAGAACGUACUUCAAGAAAAGGCUACAGCAGCACAAGGAUGAGGACCUUUCUAGCCUGGCCCAGGACGAUGACAUGCUGUAUUGGCAUAAACAUAGGGACGGCUGGAAAACCCCAGUCCCCAUGGAGGAGGACUCACUGCUGGACACAGACAUGCUCAUGUCAGAAUUCAGCGACACCCUCUUCUCCACACUCUCUUCACACCAACCCGUGGCCUGGCCCAACCCACGAGAGAUAGCACAUCUGGGAAAUGCAGACAUGAUCCAGCCAGGCCUGAUCCCUUUGCAACCCAACCUGGACUUCAUGGACACCUUUGAGCCUUUCCAGGAUCUCUUCUCCUCCAGCCGAUCCAUUUUUGGCUCCAUGUUGCCGCCUCCUUCAUCAGCGCCUGCCGCAGAUCCUAGCAGCCCACCUUCUCAGGGGAACAUCUUGCCAAAUACAGCUCUCCCUCCUGUGAGCCUGCCCAAUAGCCUCAUUACAUCUUCUGCAGCCCCCUCCCUGGAUCCUACAGAGGGGCAGGGUUGUGAACGCAUGUCCCAAACCGUGGACCCGUUUAUUCAGCCUGCAGACUUUGGUCCCUCUGAGCCACCACUGAGUGUCCCACAGCCCUUCCUCCCUGUCUUUACCAUGACCUUACUUUCUCCUAGCCCCGCCCCAGCACCUGUUCCAACUGCACUGCCUUUAGUUCCUUCGCCUGCCCCUACUCUGAACCCCCCAACUCCACCAGCUUUCCUGCAGCCACAGAAGUUUGCUGGAGUCAGCAAAUCGACCCCUGUCAUUACCCACACAGCCUCUGCAACCCUCACCCACGAUGCUUCUGCCACCACCUUCAGCCAGAGCCAGGGCCUUGUUAUCACAGCACACCAUCCGACCCCCUCCUCAUCCCCCUGUGCUCUGGCACUGUCACCAGUACCCCAGCCACCAGCUGUGGGACCUCCCCAACCUCAUUUAACUUUUAUACACCCCAAACCUGUGUCCUUGACUGGAGUGAGACAUAAGCAGCCCCCCAAAAUAGUGCCUGCUCCCAAACCUGAGCCUGUCUCCUUGGUGUUGAAGAAUGCCUGCAUUGCUCCUGCUGCCUUCUCAGGCCAACCACAGAAGGUGAUCAUGACUUCAACCCCUCUGAAGAGAGAAGGGAUUCUAGCCUCUACUGUGUCCCCAUCCAGUGUGGUCCUUGCCUCUGCUGCCAUCACCAGGGCUUCUGGAGUCACAGAGUUCCUCAGCCACAGCACGAGCAGCCAGCCUAGCCCUGUCUCUCGACUUUUUUCUCCAAGUACAGUGCAAGACUCCCUGGUGAAGAGCGAGCAGGUCUCACUGCAUGGGGGUAGUCCCCAGGUCCCUGCCACAGGCUCUAGCCGUGACUGCCCGAACUCAGGCCACGCCUCUCCAUGCCCGUCAGAACAAAGUCCCAGCCCUCAGUCUCCCCAGAACAACUGCUCAGGGAAAUCUACAGACCCCAAAAAUGUGGCUGCGUUAAAGAACCGGCAGAAGCACAUCUCAGCUGAACAGAAAAGGCGUUUCAAUAUCAGGAUGGGCUUUAACACCUUGAAUAGUUUGAUCUCCAAUAAUUCCAAGCAGACCAGCCAUGCCAUCACACUGCAGAAGACCAUGGAGUACAUCACCAAGCUGCAACAGGAGCGGAUGCAGAUGCAAGAGGAGGCCCGGAGGUUGCGGGAGGAGAUCGAGGGGCUCAACACCACCAUCAUCUCCUGCCAACAGCUGCUACCUGCCACGGGAGUCCCUGUCAACUGUCGCCAGCUUGACCACAUGAAAGACAUGUUUGAUGAAUAUGUGAAAAGCAGGAUCCUGCAGAAUUGGAAAUUCUGGAUUUUCAGCAUGAUCAUCAAGCCACUGUUUGAGUCUUUCAAGGGGAUGGUGUCCACCAGCAGCUUGGAGGAGUUCCACCGGACCGCGCUUUCCUGGCUGGACCAGCACUGCUCUCUGCCUGUCCUCAGGCCAAUGGUACUGAGUACCCUCCGACAGCUGAGCACUACCACCUCCAUCCUGACAGAUCCAUCCCAGCUGCCCGAGCAAGCGUCAGAGGCUGUUACCAGGAUGGGCAAGAGAUCGGGGGAGUCCUAAGCUUAGUUGGCAUGUGACUGCAUGAGAUGCCUGGAGAUCCCCCUCAUACCCUUCCUGACACACCGCCUCAGGGCUGCCCUGGACUCCAGUGGCCCAUUGCGCCUGUCAGGAUGCUGCGCUCAGGCCUGAAGCAGGUUUGAAGCCUGCCAACAGCAGUAUCCCAUCUUGGGAGCCUUUGCUGUGACCUCCUACUCCGUGACCUCAGUCAUCAGUCUCCCCAACAUUUGGGGUGGCCCAGACAAAGGGAAACAUCGGCUGUUCCAGUCCUGUCCGCCUGGUGGUGUACUGGGGUCCAGGGCCAGCAAGUGCAAAACAGGAGACAGAGCCUGUGCCAUCACCCAGGUCCUUCGGAAUUCCUUUCUUGAGACUUCAAGACUUGGCCCCUGUCACAUUCUUAUCUACUUGUGCUCCCCUGCACACUUUUUGGCCUCUGUCGCAACAGUGAAGUCUCUCCAUCUCUUGUUACUCCAUCGGCACCUAAUCCUCUGGGUUACUGUUCCAACCUCUGCAGAAAGGAAUGUACCGCCUCCCUUGUGUAUUCUAUUGAAGGGGAAAUCUCCACAAAUCCCUGCGAUCACAUGGAAGAGAGUGGGUGUGGGGGCCAACUGGACAGGAUGAAGAAGGCACCAGCCAUGCAAAGCUGCUGUGUGGCUCAGAAACUCCCCAGGCCUUGCCUUGUCUAAGUCUUAGUCCUAUCUGCAUUGCAGUCGCCAUGCCCGUCUCAGCAUGGCCAGGGCCUCGGCCCAGAGCCUCUAAGGCCUCACAGCUGGGGCCCUUCUGUGCCUGUUCUCCACCCACUUCGACUCUGCAGUUGUGGGAGAGGCAGAUACACUCCUGGGAUGGUGUCCCCCUUGGUUUUAGCAUUCAAAGGUCACACUCCAUGAUGCUGCUGUCAGCCAUGUCUUUUAUCUGAAGUUUAGCUGGGGCUCCAAACCAGGACAGUUCUCAGACCAAAGAUGUCAUCAUACUAAAAUCUGUCUCGCCAUGAGUGAGGAAGAAGAAACAAAUGCUGUCAGGCAAGAUGCCAAGGAGUCAGCCCGUGACUCUGCCACCGGGCCAGCUGGUAAAGUGCUGUGCCCGGAUUUGAACCAGUGAAGUUUGGAGGGCGGCCCGCGUCUGAAGGUUCAAGUGUCCCAGUGUGUUACAGAUGGUAGAGACAUGAAAAGGUUAGGGGAGGAGGGAGCCUGACUGUCAUCCUUGUCUUUGCUGCCUCUGAGAUGCUGCAGGUGGUGAAGCGCUCUCUGCAGCACUUAGCCCUGGAAAGGGUACCUCCCAGAAGAAUGUGGUUUUUAUCCUGCUGUGACACCUAGAGCAGGCUUUUUCUCCUGCCCCUGCCUCACCAUGCUGCCUGUCCUGAGAAGACCACAUGAAGAGGGGAGCCCAGGAUGUCCUCUGAAUUUCCGAUCUAUUUGGAAGCUCCUGCUGAUGCCUAAGCCCGCCCUGGACAGCUGGAGGACAAUAAAAGGGUAGGGGCUGCCGGAAGAAACUUUAAAAUGGUGGCACCGUGGAGACUAAGAAUAUCGGCCAAAAAAGGAGAAACCACAAAGCUACCUGGGAAAUCUCUGCAAGUGUUUCUGUGAAAUCUGAACAAGCCAUCAGCGCAUCUUCUGCUCGUUCUUUCGCUAUGAAUGGGCACUGCAGAGGCAGGGUAGCUCUGGCUAAAGUUGUUCCUCAGAGUUAAAGGAAAGCUAUGCAGCAGCUGUCAGAAGAGGAGGCUGGGAGUGCUCCUGUGGUUUACACAGCACAGGGGAAGCGCGGCAGCUUCGGGACUUGAUGCUGACACGCUGGCUCUUGUAGAAGAGGCUGGAAGUGGUCAGCCAGCAUGGAUUCUCAUGUGGCCCAGUCAUGAACCGUGGAUCUUGUCUGUGAGCUGUCACCUAUGCUCCCCCUCCCUCAGAUAUACAUAGAGAUCUGUCCUCUAGGGUUCUACACCCUAGGAAUGAUGUCCACUUAGAUUCUUAGGGGACGUGGUACCCAUUUUCUGGUAGAGUUCAGUGGCAGGUGGCACCAGGCCUGCCAAUGGCCAGCAGCCUCUCUUGGGUGUGUGGGGUCCUGUGGCUGCUGGAUCGCCUGGCCUCGGGAUCAGCUGCUUUCACUUGCUAGCUCUUGUCUUCCUUCCACAAUGUCAGAAAUCUGUUCACCCUACCCUGGCUCCUCAAGGGUCUCUGUCUCACUAGGGCCUCCUAAGAGAAGCUGGGUGUGCGCGCCUCUCUCUUUGCUUUCCCGGGAGAUAGACACGUCUUCUUUCUAGGUAAAUAGAUACAGGGCACAGUGGAAGCCCACCAUGGUGUGUGGAACUUGGUUUUUUCAGUCAUCUUGUGGUCUUGUUGACAAGGUGUGUGGACAGUGGCGCAGAAACAGUCCCCUAGAAUGCCCAUGUUUCAGAGAAGUUCACCUUUGGGCUUAGCCCUUUGGUGUCUUGUGGUGUUUCAGGGGACUGGGUCUGUGCAAGUAUAAGAGGAAAGCGACAGUUACGUUGCUGGGGAAGAGUAGAAAGGCACAGGGCUCGUGGGAAAUAGGUCCUUUUAGCACACACCUCGGCCAGGAUCUACUCAGCAGGUUUUGUGAUCUUAAGGAAGCUGGUGGGAGAAACCUUAGGAAACAGUACCCACCCUUUGUCACUUCAAAUAUGGGCAAGAGCAGGUCAAGCUACCAGCUCUCUCUGCGGAAUGGGCCUCUGCUCACGAGAUAGGACGGUCUGCUUGUCAGAGCUUGCAAGACUCAACCUUCUGGAAAGAAAAGGGAACUUUCCACAGUGAAUGUUAACGUGUGCGUGCAUGCGCACUCACUCAAGCCUGUGUGUGUGCAUGCGUGUGUUUACUUGGUGGAAUUUUAUUUUUGUAAAAUUCCUUUCCAGUUAUUUAGUAGAAUUCACCUAUAUCUCCCCGUCAAACUUUGGUUCCACCAUUACAACCCUAGGCAUAGUGAGUUUGGAACUCCUUUGAGAUUCCCGAACAGGAUCUGGCAUUCUUGAAAGCUGAGACUAUGGAAGGGCAGGCGGGAGACACUGACUAUAUAGCUAUUUCCUAGUUUACAUCCUGCGGGUUAAAGGGACUCCUGGCCUCGGCUAGGCUAUGUCCCUUUUGGGGGGGGGGUCCAGUACCCCUCCCCUAGGCACCUUGUCACCUGAAUCUCCACCCCACGAAACAAAGCAGGCUUAUUGGCUUGCUCUGUAGCACCCCAGCAUGUUCUUCAAGUUCUUCAAGUUUCAACCUCUGUGCACAGGCUAAGUGUAUGUUGUGUGCUUUGGUGAUGGUCUGGGCUCCUUUGAGGAGGUGGCUACACCUGGGGCAGGGUGGCUUUCAUUUAUACCAGAGAUCCCUGGGGCUGCUCGCCUGAGCCUGGUCCCCUUAAAGCCUGCUGUUGACAAGCACGUUUUCCACCAGCUGUACCCAACACUACAAUGCAUUUUUAAAACUAUAUUUGCAUC
RNA transcript from Mus pahari (shrew mouse), 6297 nucleotides. It is a transcript of the gene named MLX interacting protein, with no coding region annotated. Lineage: Eukaryota; Metazoa; Chordata; Mammalia; Rodentia; Muridae. The transcript is spliced from 18 exons. The record is from RefSeq and is a predicted model, not a curated record.